Molecule: ribosomal RNA, 336 nt
Filed under: Triticum aestivum (bread wheat)
Lineage: Eukaryota; Viridiplantae; Streptophyta; Magnoliopsida; Poales; Poaceae
Description: partial small subunit ribosomal RNA
Source: RNAcentral
AUGUUGGUUUACCAUAUUUAUGUUGUGAGAAAUAUUUACUCCUGUUGUUUACCAUAUUUAUGUUGUGAGAAAUAUGUGCUCAUGUUGUUUUACCAUAUUUAUGUUGUGAGAAAUAUUUACUCCUGUUGUUUACCAUAUUUAUGUUGUGAGAAAUAUGUGCUCAUGUUGUUUUACCAUAUUUAUGUUGUGAGAAAUAUGUGCUCGUGUUGUUUUACCUUAUUUAUGUUGCGAGAAGUAAUUGCUCGUGUAGUCUGGUCAUAUUUAUGUGAUGCAGAAUAUUUUAACAUUUUUAUAUUGUUAUGUAGAUGGAUGCAAGAAUGGAAGAAGUGGCCAUAA